UACGAAGGGGGCUAGCGUUGCUCGGAAUCACUGGGCUUAAAGGGCGCGUAGGCGGGUCCUCAAGUCCGGGGUGAAAUCCCACGGCCCAACCGUGGAAGUGCCUUGGAUACUGAGGACCUCGAGGGGGAUAGGGGCGUGCGGAACUCAGGGUGGAGCGGUGAAAUGCGUAGAUAUCCUGAGGAACACCGGUGGCGAAAGCGGCGCGCUGGAUCCCUUCUGACGCUGAGGCGCGAAAGCCAGGGGAGCAAACGGG
Molecule: ribosomal RNA, 253 nt
Filed under: uncultured bacterium
Lineage: Bacteria
Description: partial 16S ribosomal RNA
Rfam family: Bacterial small subunit ribosomal RNA
Source: RNAcentral